GCUGCGCGCGUUUCUGGCCCUGCCAGUGUCUCCGCCGGUUGAAAGCGCGUGUCUGCGUCGGGUUCUGUUGGAGUGCGUUCGGUGCGCCGUGGGUCCGCGCUGCUUCCACCCAACUUCCUGUUAGUUUCUCUCCUGUCACAAUGGCAUGAUCUCGGCUCACUGCGACCUCUGCUUCCUGGGUUCAAGGAUUCUCCUGCCUCAGCCUCCCAAGUAGCUGGGAUUACAGGUGCGUGCCAAUAUACCCGGCUAAUUUUUUGUAUUUUUGGUAGAGACUGGGCUUCACCAUGUUGGUCAGGCUGGUCUGGAACUCCUGGCCUCAAGUGAUCUGCCUGCCUCGGCUUCCCAAAGUGCUGGGAUAACAGGCAUGAGCCACCCGGCGCCCGGGCUUAAUGUUUGUUUAUAUAGGUUAUUAAGAAUCAGUUUGUGACAGGCUAUUAGUAUUGUUACUUCUCUUUGUUACUGUCGAUUUUAACAUCAAUUUAUGUGUGUACUAUUACCUUUAAAGUAAAACUUAUUUUUAAACUAAGAA
Long non-coding RNA from Homo sapiens (human), 529 nucleotides. Ensembl annotates it as long intergenic non-protein coding RNA 1128. The record is from Ensembl. NCBI's taxonomy places the organism in Eukaryota, Metazoa, Chordata, Mammalia, Primates, Hominidae.